This 378-nucleotide ribosomal RNA is filed under the name uncultured bacterium. Its description in RNAcentral is "bacterial SSU rRNA". It matches the Rfam family "Bacterial small subunit ribosomal RNA", at positions 32 to 391 of the family's 1533-position model. The record is from RNAcentral.
AAUCAACGCUGGCGGCGUGCCUCAGACAUGCAAGUCGAACGCGAAAGUUUCCUUCGGGGAACAAGUAGAGUGGCGCACGGGUGAGUAACACGUAGGUAAUCUACCUUUGGAUGGGGAAUAACAACCGGAAACGGUUGCUAAUACCGCAUAAUGCAGCGGCACCUAAUGGUGACAGUUGUUAAAGCGGGGGAUCGAAAGACCUCGCGUCUGAAGAGGAGCCUGCGGCGGAUCAGCAGUUGGUAAGGUAAUGGCUUACCAAGGCGACGAUCCGUAACCGGCCUGAGAGGGCGGUCGGUCACACUGACACUGACAUACGGGUCAGACUCCUACGGGAGGCAGCAGUCGGGAAUUUGGGCAAUGGGCGAAAGCCUGACCCAU